RNAcentral lists this ribosomal RNA (853 nucleotides) under Candidozyma duobushaemuli. RNAcentral's name for it is "LSU rRNA". It matches the Rfam family "Eukaryotic large subunit ribosomal RNA", at positions 38 to 964 of the family's 3401-position model. Lineage: Eukaryota; Fungi; Ascomycota; Pichiomycetes; Serinales; Metschnikowiaceae. The record is from RNAcentral.
GCAUAUCAAUAAGCGGAGGAAAAGAAACCAACAGGGAUUGCCUCAGUAACGGCGAAGUGAAGCGGCAAGAAGCUCAACUUUGGAAUCGCUCCGGCGAGUUGUAGUCUGGAGGCGGCCGGUCCGCCUUGCGCAACCAAAUCUAAGUCCUCUGGAACGAGGCGCUUGAAAGGGUGACAGCCCCGUGGAUUUUUGUUGUUGUGCUUGGCCCCUGGUCUGCCGACGAGUCGAGUUGUUUGGGAAUGCAGCUCUAAGUGGGUGGUAAAUUCCAUCUAAAGCUAAAUACCGGCGAGAGACCGAUAGCGAACAAGUACAGUAAUGGAAAGAUGAAAAGCACUUUGAAAAGAGAGUGAAACAGUACGUGAAAUUGUUGAAAGGGAAGGGCUUGCAGCUAGACAACUGUCAGCAUCGGGUGGAGCGGAACUAAAAGUGGGAGCUGAUGUAGCAACCCCCCCGGGGUUGCAUUAUACAACUCUCAGAUGGUUCCUGCUUCGCCCGAGGAUCGCCUAUUUGAAGGAUGCUGGCGCAAUGGCUGCAAGCCACCCGUCUUGAAACACGGACCAAGGAGUCUAACGUCUAUGCGAGUGUACGGGUGGAAAACCCCUGCGCGGAAUGAAAGUAAGAGGUUGGAGCCCGCAAGGGUGCACAAUCGACCGACCUGGAAGUGCUCGGACGGGUUUGAGUAGGAGCAUAGCUGUUGGGACCCGAAAGAUGGUGAACUAUACCUGAAUAGGGUGAAGCCAGAGGAAACUCUGGUGGAGGCUCGUAGCGGUUCUGACGUGCAAAUCGAUUCGUCGGAAAUUUGGGUAUAGGGGCGAAAGACUAAUCGAACCAUCUAGUAGCUGGUUCCUGCCGA